RNAcentral lists this long non-coding RNA (414 nucleotides) under Manihot esculenta (cassava). RNAcentral describes it as "long non-coding RNA (MESC_LNC003778)". The record is from RNAcentral. Lineage: Eukaryota; Viridiplantae; Streptophyta; Magnoliopsida; Malpighiales; Euphorbiaceae.
CCGGCGACUAGCCUACGGGCACUUCCCAACGUUGGAAAAGCUCUUUUCGGCUUGAAAUCCAGCCGUGGAGGAAAGUUCAAGGCAAUGGCAGCUUACAAAGUGAAGGCUAUCACUCCGGAGGGUGAAUUUGAAAUUGAAUGUCCUGAUGAUGUCUAUAUCCUCGACGCUUUUGAAGAAGCUGGUGUUGAUCUUCCAUACUCAUGCAGGGCUGGUUCUUGCUCUUCUUGUGCUGGGAAAAUUGUAGCAGGAGCCAUAGAUCAAUCUGAUGGAAGCUUUCUUGACGAUGAACAGGUAGAAGAGGGUUGGGUUCUUACUUGUGUUGCUUAUCCUCAGUCCGAUAUUGUUAUUGAGACACACAAGGAAGAAGAGCUUACUGGUUAAUGACGUGGUUUUGAAAUUCCAGCCGGCGCCGGA